CCGACCUUAGCUCAGUUGGUAGAGCGGAGGACUGUAGUAUUGCAGAUCAAUCCUUAGGUCGCUGGUUUGAAUCCGGCAGGUCGAA
Non-coding RNA from Triticum aestivum (bread wheat), 85 nucleotides. The record is from Rfam. NCBI's taxonomy places the organism in Eukaryota, Viridiplantae, Streptophyta, Magnoliopsida, Poales, Poaceae.